This 621-nucleotide long non-coding RNA is filed under the name Equus asinus (donkey). RNAcentral describes it as "lncRNA (ENSEASG00005033159.1)". Lineage: Eukaryota; Metazoa; Chordata; Mammalia; Perissodactyla; Equidae. The record is from RNAcentral.
CCACUCUCCUUCCAAGAGUGAUCUCAACACCACACCUCCAUUGCCACCUUCUUUCAUCACUUCUGGCUCUGAACUCAUCCCUUCCACAGUUAUUGUUAGCUCCUUCACACUUCAUCCUGUUCAUCCCUCUGAUCUCCAGCUCUCUGAUCAUUGGCUUUUAUUGUACCCAUAUCUUAUAUCACCCCAACUUGGAACAGAAGGGUGGUGUGAGUAAGAGCACAGACUUUGGAGGCAGACAGAUCUGGGUUGGAAUUCUGCUUCUUCUGCUUAAAAUGGGAACAGUGUUUCAUGAAAUUCAAAUGACCUCGUAGGAUGGUUGUAAGUGUUCAUUAAGAAUUUAAGAUAAAUACUUCCCACAAUGUCUGGCCCAGAGACUGGUCCAGUGCUCCAUCCAUCAGGCUCUAAAUGUCUGUUGACUCGCUAAAUACUUUCAGAGGACUGUUUAGGCCACCACUGAGGAGGUGGGAAAAUGGCUUUACUGGAGCUGCACAUGAGCAAGGAGGCUUGGUUCUACAGGCUGGAAUGAAGUAAAGUGGGAGGAUGAAGGAUGUUUGAAAAGCCCGGGGCGGAAGGUGCUAGGGAAAAGAGAAAUGCAGAAGGGAAUUUUGUGUUCCAUCUUCC